UACGUAGGGUGCAAGCGUUGUCCGGAAUCAUUGGGCGUAAAGCGCGUGUAGGCGGUUCGGUAAGUCUGCUGUGAAAGUCCAGGGCUCAACCCUGGGAUGCCGGUGGAUACUGUCGGACUAGAGUACGGAAGAGGCGAGUGGAAUUCCCGGUGUAGCGGUGAAAUGCGCAGAUAUCGGGAGGAACACCAAUUGCGAAGGCAGCUCGCUGGGACGUUACUGACGCUGAGACGCGAAAGCGUGGGGAGCAAACAGG
Molecule: ribosomal RNA, 253 nt
Filed under: uncultured bacterium
Lineage: Bacteria
Description: partial 16S ribosomal RNA
Rfam family: Bacterial small subunit ribosomal RNA
Source: RNAcentral